This 492-nucleotide ribosomal RNA is filed under the name uncultured bacterium. Its description in RNAcentral is "partial 16S ribosomal RNA". It matches the Rfam family "Bacterial small subunit ribosomal RNA", at positions 29 to 507 of the family's 1533-position model. The record is from RNAcentral.
AGUGAACGCUGGCGGUAGGCCUAACACAUGCAAGUCGAACGGCAGCACAGUAAGAGCUUGCUCUUACGGGUGGCGAGUGGCGGACGGGUGAGGAAUACAUCGGAAUCUACUUUUUCGUGGGGGAUAACGUAGGGAAACUUACGCUAAUACCGCAUACGACCUACGGGUGAAAGCAGGGGAUCUUCGGACCUUGCGCGAUUGAAUGAGCCGAUGUCGGAUUAGCUAGUUGGCGGGGUAAAGGCCCACCAAGGCGACGAUCCGUAGCUGGUCUGAGAGGAUGAUCAGCCACGCUGGAACUGAGACACGGUCCAGACUCCUACGGGAGGCAGCAGUGGGGAAUAUUGGACAAUGGGCGCAAGCCUGAUCCAGCCAUACCGCGUGGGUGAAGAAGGCCUUCGGGUUGUAAAGCCCUUUUGUUGGGAAAGAAAAGCAGCAGGUUAAUACCCCGCUGUUCUGACGUUACCCAAAGAAUAAGCACCGGCUAACUUCGUG